Molecule: long non-coding RNA, 335 nt
Filed under: Cervus hanglu yarkandensis (Yarkand deer)
Lineage: Eukaryota; Metazoa; Chordata; Mammalia; Artiodactyla; Cervidae
Description: lncRNA (ENSCHYG00000004028.1)
Source: RNAcentral
GUAUGUCUUGAGAAAGAUUCUUUACUGCCUGAGCCACCAGGAAAGCCCACAGAUAUAUGUACAUGAAGGUAAGAGCACACAUAUAGUUAGUUUGCCAUGGCCAAGAAUAAGUUUCAAGGAACCUGAAAAGUGGGGAGGUGGGGCUGGAUAGUUGGUGGGGCCAGAUCAUAAAAGGCCUUAUUCUGUGAAAAGGAAAGCGCCCCUUAACAUUUUUUUUUUUUUUAAUUUUUUGGCCUUGUGCAUGUAGCAUGUGGGAUCCUAAGUGCCCAACCAGGGAUCAAACCUGCAGCCCCUCUAUUUAAAGGGUGGAGUUCUAACCAUUGGCCCUCCAGGGA